CUGGGCAACUUAGCGUCUGCCUGUGAUCCGAGCGGAGGCGAGGGCGUUGGAACGGCUUUGGUUCGCUCACGGACCUCAGUCGCGUGCCGAUCACGGCUCCACUUCAAGCCGGCGGUCCGCAGCGCGAUUUUCCGGAGGGAAGAUCUCGUGGCGGUUAUAGAGAUGGGAAUCGCAUCAGGCGGGAAACCGAGCAGUGCAAACCGUCCGCCGUCGGCAGUGAAGGGAUAGGCUG
RNAcentral lists this signal recognition particle RNA (232 nucleotides) under uncultured Micromonas. RNAcentral describes it as "partial Plant signal recognition particle RNA". It matches the Rfam family "Plant signal recognition particle RNA", at positions 1 to 246 of the family's 305-position model. Lineage: Eukaryota; Viridiplantae; Chlorophyta; Mamiellophyceae; Mamiellales. The record is from RNAcentral.